UGUCAUCGUGUUCAAGAUCGACGUUUAACGAGUCAAUGCUCUCCUCAACACUUAUCCUAGAGGAAUUAUCCGGCUGAAAUUUCGUGUUAUUCUUCGCCGCGUUCGGACGACAUGGCUCGACGUGUGACCGACCUUGCUGUUGACUACGGCACGCGCCAUUGGAACUUGGAACAAUGGGGGCCCAAAGUGACACGACCCUGAGCAUCCUCUUCGAGAUCCCUCUGCUGCAAGAACACCAUACCUGUGAUGCCGAG
Molecule: long non-coding RNA, 254 nt
Organism: Eufriesea mexicana
Lineage: Eukaryota; Metazoa; Arthropoda; Insecta; Hymenoptera; Apidae
Exons: 3
Source: RefSeq, a predicted model, not a curated record